Molecule: unclassified non-coding RNA, 205 nt
Filed under: Hevea brasiliensis (rubber tree)
Lineage: Eukaryota; Viridiplantae; Streptophyta; Magnoliopsida; Malpighiales; Euphorbiaceae
Source: RNAcentral
AUAUAUAUAUAUAUAUAUGGUGUGAUAUCUAUGGAACGGUAUAUCUUUAGUUGGAAGACGAAGGCUUUGUUUUAUGGAAGAAACUAAUAUUAUUCUUCCUGAUUUUGUUGUGAAGAUGGAUGUUUUGUUAUCUGAUUUGUAGUUAUUGGUUGCAAGUAAUAACUCCUUUUAACUACAAAUCAGAUAACAAAACAUCCAUCUUCAC